AACUUGUUUCUUUGUGUACAUAUUGUUGAGUUUUGUGAUAAUUGAUAACCUCAUUACUCUUAUGCUUGAUCUAAUGGGACUUAACUGUUUGCCUAGAAAAUGCAAGAAGACUAUUGUGGGUUUUCUAUGGUUCCGUCUUCUGAUUAACGUUCGUACUGCCCAACGCUUUGCAUGCUAUGCUUUUCCAAAUUCAUGUGGAUCCAAAAAACACUACCAUUUGCUGCCUAAAACACUACCAUUUGUAGCACAAAACACUUUCAUUUGUAGCCUAAAAAGACACUUCAAGCUUCACGAGGGCAGGGCUGGCUGCAUUCCACAAUAAUCUACCCACCUUUUCUUUGAAUGACAUUGUGACUAUCCACAAUCUUGUUUGCUGCCUUUUGUGAUAGGCUUAGCGUUGUAGUUUUGGUAGAUUGAUUGUUUUAGCAAUAGGAGUUUACUUACCAUGUUGUAGGAGUUGAUAUUCCAUUUCGUCCACACAAGUCGUAUAUGGCUUAUUAAACUGAUCAUCACCUUUGAGAAUAUGUGCAAUUAGUGAUAUAGCUCUAUGUGUGAGGGUACAUUAGUGUGAUUUAUGUACGCACCAAGGCGCGAAAAGGCAUUUUAGCUUGUAUACGCGUAACUUGCAUUUGUUGUUCUUGUAGGUUAAAUAGGACUUGUAUUUGCUUACUCCUUUUCCUGCAUAUCAUUUUUAUACCUGAUUAAUCAGGCUAGUUUGUAGCCUGACAGUCAUUAUGACUACUAUGUUCAUUAGUUAAGAUAUGGACUUGCUCAAAGCCAUCUUAAGAUUAAUUUGAAAUAGAAAAGGAAGAAGAUAGGGGACAACCCCUUUAGUAGGUAUAAUCUUUGUCUGUUGAUUCAAGUGGAUCCAAUCAUGUAGUUGAUGCUCGGGUCUAGGCUGUGAUUGGCUAUGUUGGUGAUUUUCAUUGUAUUUUGUUGAAAUCCGGCUAAUGUCUUUUGGCUGUUUGAAUGAAAUUAUCAGCUUUUGGCAGUUGUUGGUGCUCCAUAUGAUACGUUGUAGGAAUUUAUUGGUAUUAGGGACUCUCAUGAAUUGGGUAUGUUGCAAGAUUUUGGAGUGAAGUGCCGAAAAGUGCACAGGAUGGCGGGCUUGAUUGGAAUGUGCUUGAGGGUGCAGUGACAGCUUGCAGAGGAUGGCAGGCUUAACUUGAAUUUUACUCUCCCCUAUAGAGGCACACUUAGUACAACCUUAAUCCAUAAAAUCACUGCAUGAUAGGAAGGAUUUUGGGAUGGAAAAGACAAGUGAAAAAUUCAAGAGCGUUAACAAUAACCCUAAAUGCAACAAGUGGACGUUGGUCUUUUAGUGAUGCACAUACCCGUGGUCAUGUACUUAUCUGUCCUAGUGCAAUGGUAGUUUGGGUAGAUGCUAUAAACAAAGCUGAAGUAUUUUUGUGGAGUAGUGAGUGACAUGGUUUAUGUUGAAGAAUCUGUUGGAGCUACUGCUACUUGGCUGACAAAGUUAUUAUGGACUCUACAUGAGGAUUGACUUUGGGUUGAAAGACAAGAUUGGUGUUUUGUGACUUUCGCUAAAGAUGGAGAUAUGAUCAUGUGCCAGUGUCGGCCGGGCAUUGUUCAAGCCUUUUCCUUGACACAUUUACUGUCUUCUCACCGUCAAGCCUUGUAGUCCACUUUUGGGGUAUAUAUGUUUAAGGGUGGGCCUAAAGUCAAUUAAAUUUCCUUCAUUUUAAAGUUAACAUGUAUAGUACCUGAUGUUGAUGAAGUACAAUUUUCUUUUUGGUUUUGUAUGGAAUGUUGUGACUAUAUUGCUACUGAAUGGAUAUUAAUUAGAUUAUCUAGUUCUUUUUCUA
Rhododendron vialii is the source of this 1826-nucleotide long non-coding RNA. RefSeq lists it as uncharacterized. The record is from RefSeq and is a predicted model, not a curated record. Lineage: Eukaryota; Viridiplantae; Streptophyta; Magnoliopsida; Ericales; Ericaceae. The transcript has 5 exons.